Molecule: long non-coding RNA, 429 nt
Organism: Xiphophorus couchianus (Monterrey platyfish)
Lineage: Eukaryota; Metazoa; Chordata; Actinopteri; Cyprinodontiformes; Poeciliidae
Exons: 3
Source: RefSeq, a predicted model, not a curated record
AGGCUGGUGGUCUGGUGGGGAGCAGUCUUUUUCCACCAGGGGGAGCCAUGAGGUCGCGGUUUGGUGGAGGGCGGCUCCUGCGCACCUGUGCGUAAUGGGCACAAUCAUCACCCGCAUAAGAGGAGCGGACGACGGGUUCUCCAGCGCCAGAGUGUUAUACCAGUAAUGGUGCAUCUUUGUGACGCUGGGUAGUCGGCUUAUGAGAACCCGGUUCUGGCCUUGGAUAUCCUCCUUCGUGACGCCGGUACUCCCCUGUCCGCCCUCCACAUCUCUCCCUUCGCUAAAACCACCUCCCCCGGCGGACAAACCUCACCUCACCCACACUUAGACGAUCCUGAUCCAGCUCCUUCCAGAAGACGUUUCCCCGCCCAAAAAGACUCAUCUGUUUUCUUUGAGAAGAAAAACAAUAAACUUACUUUAUCUGAUUCA